GCUACGGGAGGCAGCAGUGGGGAAUCUUGCACAAUGGGGGAAACCCUGAUGCAGCGACGCCGCGUGAGCGAUGAAGGAUUUCGGUAUGUAAAGCUCUAUUAGCAGGGAAGAAAAUGACGGUCCCUGACUAAGCAGCCCCGGCCAACUACGUGCCAGCAGCCGCGGUAAUACGUAGGGGGCACGCGUUAUCCGGAGUUACUGGGUGUAAAGGGGGCGCAGACGGGGGUGCAAGCCAGGCGGGAAAGCCCGGGGUCCAACCCCGGGACUGCACCUGGAGCUGGGUGGCUGGAGUGCAGGAGGGGACGGCGGAACUCCUGGUGUAGCGGUGAAAUGCGUAGAUAUAAGGAGGAACACCGGUGGCGAAGGCGGCCUGCUGGACUGCAACUGACGUUGAGGCCCGAAAGCGUGGGGAGCAAACAGGAUUAGAUACCCUUGUAGUC
Molecule: ribosomal RNA, 440 nt
Filed under: uncultured bacterium
Lineage: Bacteria
Description: partial 16S ribosomal RNA
Rfam family: Bacterial small subunit ribosomal RNA
Source: RNAcentral